AUUGAACGCUAGCGGGAUGCUUUACACAUGCAAGUCGAACGGCAGCGCGGACUUCGGUCUGGCGGCGAGUGGCGAACGGGUGAGUAAUGUAUCGGAACGUGCCCAGUAGCGGGGGAUAACUACGCGAAAGCGUAGCUAAUACCGCAUACGCCCUACGGGGGAAAGCAGGGGAUCGUAAGACCUUGCACUAUUGGAGCGGCCGAUAUCGGAUUAGCUAGUUGGUGAGGUAACGGCUCACCAAGGCGACGAUCCGUAGCUGGUUUGAGAGGACGACCAGCCACACUGGGACUGAGACACGGCCCAUACUCCUACGGGAGGCAGCAGUGGGGAAUUUUGGACAAUGGGGGCAACCCUGAUCCAGCCAUCCCGCGUGUGCGAUGAAGGCCUUCGGGUUGUAAAGCACUUUUGGCAGGAAAGAAACGUCGCGGGCUAAUACCCCGUGGAACUGACGGUACCUGCAGAAUAAGCACCGGCUAACUACGUG
Molecule: ribosomal RNA, 484 nt
Filed under: uncultured bacterium
Lineage: Bacteria
Description: partial 16S ribosomal RNA
Rfam family: Bacterial small subunit ribosomal RNA
Source: RNAcentral